RNAcentral lists this ribosomal RNA (1548 nucleotides) under Lactiplantibacillus plantarum. RNAcentral describes it as "Lactobacillus plantarum 16S ribosomal RNA". It matches the Rfam family "Bacterial small subunit ribosomal RNA". The record is from RNAcentral. Lineage: Bacteria; Bacillati; Bacillota; Bacilli; Lactobacillales; Lactobacillaceae.
UUUGAUCAUGGCUCAGGACGAACGCUGGCGGCGUGCCUAAUACAUGCAAGUCGAACGAACUCUGGUAUUGAUUGGUGCUUGCAUCAUGAUUUACAUUUGAGUGAGUGGCGAACUGGUGAGUAACACGUGGGAAACCUGCCCAGAAGCGGGGGAUAACACCUGGAAACAGAUGCUAAUACCGCAUAACAACUUGGACCGCAUGGUCCGAGCUUGAAAGAUGGCUUCGGCUAUCACUUUUGGAUGGUCCCGCGGCGUAUUAGCUAGAUGGUGGGGUAACGGCUCACCAUGGCAAUGAUACGUAGCCGACCUGAGAGGGUAAUCGGCCACAUUGGGACUGAGACACGGCCCAAACUCCUACGGGAGGCAGCAGUAGGGAAUCUUCCACAAUGGACGAAAGUCUGAUGGAGCAACGCCGCGUGAGUGAAGAAGGGUUUCGGCUCGUAAAACUCUGUUGUUAAAGAAGAACAUAUCUGAGAGUAACUGUUCAGGUAUUGACGGUAUUUAACCAGAAAGCCACGGCUAACUACGUGCCAGCAGCCGCGGUAAUACGUAGGUGGCAAGCGUUGUCCGGAUUUAUUGGGCGUAAAGCGAGCGCAGGCGGUUUUUUAAGUCUGAUGUGAAAGCCUUCGGCUCAACCGAAGAAGUGCAUCGGAAACUGGGAAACUUGAGUGCAGAAGAGGACAGUGGAACUCCAUGUGUAGCGGUGAAAUGCGUAGAUAUAUGGAAGAACACCAGUGGCGAAGGCGGCUGUCUGGUCUGUAACUGACGCUGAGGCUCGAAAGUAUGGGUAGCAAACAGGAUUAGAUACCCUGGUAGUCCAUACCGUAAACGAUGAAUGCUAAGUGUUGGAGGGUUUCCGCCCUUCAGUGCUGCAGCUAACGCAUUAAGCAUUCCGCCUGGGGAGUACGGCCGCAAGGCUGAAACUCAAAGGAAUUGACGGGGGCCCGCACAAGCGGUGGAGCAUGUGGUUUAAUUCGAAGCUACGCGAAGAACCUUACCAGGUCUUGACAUACUAUGCAAAUCUAAGAGAUUAGACGUUCCCUUCGGGGACAUGGAUACAGGUGGUGCAUGGUUGUCGUCAGCUCGUGUCGUGAGAUGUUGGGUUAAGUCCCGCAACGAGCGCAACCCUUAUUAUCAGUUGCCAGCAUUAAGUUGGGCACUCUGGUGAGACUGCCGGUGACAAACCGGAGGAAGGUGGGGAUGACGUCAAAUCAUCAUGCCCCUUAUGACCUGGGCUACACACGUGCUACAAUGGAUGGUACAACGAGUUGCGAACUCGCGAGAGUAAGCUAAUCUCUUAAAGCCAUUCUCAGUUCGGAUUGUAGGCUGCAACUCGCCUACAUGAAGUCGGAAUCGCUAGUAAUCGCGGAUCAGCAUGCCGCGGUGAAUACGUUCCCGGGCCUUGUACACACCGCCCGUCACACCAUGAGAGUUUGUAACACCCAAAGUCGGUGGGGUAACCUUUUAGGAACCAGCCGCCUAAGGUGGGACAGAUGAUUAGGGUGAAGUCGUAACAAGGUAGCCGUAGGAGAACCUGCGGUUGGAUCA